UCGCCUGUUUAUCAAAACAUAGCCUGAAGAAUAUAUUUUAGGUGAAAUCUGCUCAGUGUGCUUUAAAAUAAUAAAUAGCCGCGGUACUUUGACCGUGCUAAGGUAGCAUAAUAAGUUGGCUUUUAAAUGAGGUCGAGUAUGAAUGAAAGAACGUAGCUAAGCUGUCUCAAGACUAUUUUAUCGAAUUUACUGUGUAGAUGAAAAAGUCUAUAUAAAUAUAAAAGACGAGAAGACCCUUAGAAUUUAAACUAUACUGGAAAAUAUUUCCUGAAUGUUUUUGUUGGGGCGACAUAGAAACAGAAAAACUUUCUGGAAGAAACAUGACGAUUUUUAUAAGAACGGAAAAAUUACCUGAGGGAUAACAGCAUAAUUAUAAAAAUUAGUUUGUGACCUCGAUGUUGGACUAGGAAAUUAGUAGACUAGCCGUUUACUAUAUUGGUUCUGUUCGAACUGUUUUUCCUACGUGAUCUGAGUUCAGACCG
This 482-nucleotide ribosomal RNA is filed under the name Bathyberthella antarctica. RNAcentral's name for it is "partial 16S ribosomal RNA". It matches the Rfam family "Bacterial large subunit ribosomal RNA", at positions 1796 to 2618 of the family's 2925-position model. Lineage: Eukaryota; Metazoa; Mollusca; Gastropoda; Pleurobranchida; Pleurobranchidae. The record is from RNAcentral.